CACAUAAAAAAUAGCUCUUUGGCUCUUCCCGAAAGCGGCCUGAGGUGACCUCUCAAAAUGGUUCGCUAUUCUCUUGACCCGGAGAACCCCACAAAAUCAUGUAAAUCGAGAGGUUCGAAUCUACAGGUUCAUUUUAAGAACACUCGUGAAACUGCCCAGGCCAUAAAGGGUAUGCAUAUCCGAAAAGCCACCAAGUAUCUAAAGGAUGUCACAUUACAAAAACAAUGUGUGCCCUUCCGUCGUUACAAUGGUGGAGUUGGGAGGUGUGCCCAGGCCAAACAGUGGGGUUGGACACAGGGUCGGUGGCCCAAAAAGAGUGCAGUAUUUUUACUGCACAUGCUUAAAAAUGCAGAGAGUAAUGCUGAACUUAAGGGUUUAGCUGUAGACUCUCUAGUCAUAGAGCACAUCCAAGUAAAUAAAGCUCCCAAGAUGCGGCGCAGAACUUACAGAGCUCACGGACGGAUCAACCCCUACAUGAGCUCUCCCUGCCACAUUGAGAUGAUCCUAACUGAAAAGGAACAAAUUGUUCCUAAACCAGAAGAGGAGGUUGCACGGAAGAAAAAGAUCUCCCAGAAGAAACUGAAGAAACAAAAACUUAUGGCCUGGGAGUAAAUUCAACAUCAAAUAAAUGCUAAUAAAAGUAAAA
Molecule: RNA transcript, 646 nt
Organism: Hipposideros armiger (great roundleaf bat)
Lineage: Eukaryota; Metazoa; Chordata; Mammalia; Chiroptera; Hipposideridae
Gene name: 60S ribosomal protein L17 pseudogene
Exons: 1
Source: RefSeq, a predicted model, not a curated record